RNAcentral lists this ribosomal RNA (444 nucleotides) under Kurixalus odontotarsus. RNAcentral's name for it is "partial 12S ribosomal RNA". It matches the Rfam family "Bacterial small subunit ribosomal RNA", at positions 754 to 1414 of the family's 1533-position model. Lineage: Eukaryota; Metazoa; Chordata; Amphibia; Anura; Rhacophoridae. The record is from RNAcentral.
AAAAAGCUUCAAACUGGGAUUAGAUACCCCACUAUGCCAAGCCGUAAAUAAUUAACUUACACCAACCAACGCCAGGGAACUAUGAGUUUUAACUUGAAACCCAAAGGACUUGACGGUAUCCCACCCCACUAGAGGAGCCUGUCCUGUAAAUGAUGAUCCCCGAUAUACCCAACCAUUUCUUGCUUAUCAGUCUGUAUACCGCCGUCGUAAGCUUACCGUAUGAACGUACAACAGUAGGCCUAAGGACUAACCCGCCAUAACGUCAGGUCAAGGUGCAACUUAUGUAAUGGAAAGUGAUUGGCUACAAUUUCUAACUUAGAACAUACGAAAAACUUAUAUGAAACAUAGUCAUGAAGGUGGAUUUAGUAGUAAAUAAGGAAUAGAGAGCCUUAUUAAACCCGGCCCUGGGAUGUGUACACACCGCCCGUCACCCUCUGCAGUCAA